UGCCAGCCGCCGCGGUAAGACGGAGGGUCCAAGCGUUAUCCGGAUUUAUUGGGUUUAAAGGGUCCGUAGGCGGACAAUUAAGUCAGUGGUGAAAUCCAACAGCUCAACUGUUGAACUGCCAUUGAUACUGAUUGUCUUGAGUAUGUUAGAUGUUGGCGGAAUAGGUCAUGUAGCGGUGAAAUGCUUAGAUAUGACCUAGAACACCGAUUGCGAAGGCAGCCAACAAUGCCAUUACUGAAGCUGAGUGACGAAAGCGUGGGGAGCGAACAGGAUUAGAUA
RNAcentral lists this ribosomal RNA (279 nucleotides) under uncultured bacterium. RNAcentral's name for it is "partial 16S ribosomal RNA". It matches the Rfam family "Bacterial small subunit ribosomal RNA", at positions 506 to 784 of the family's 1533-position model. The record is from RNAcentral.